Molecule: transfer RNA, 74 nt
Filed under: Dysgonamonadaceae bacterium
Lineage: Bacteria; Pseudomonadati; Bacteroidota; Bacteroidia; Bacteroidales; Dysgonomonadaceae
Description: tRNA-Arg
Rfam family: tRNA
About the family: Transfer RNA (tRNA) molecules are approximately 80 nucleotides in length. Their secondary structure includes four short double-helical elements and three loops (D, anti-codon, and T loops).
Source: RNAcentral
GGUUCCGUAGCUUAACUGAAUAGAGCACCUGACUACGGAUCAGGAGGUUAUAGGUUUGAAUCCUAUCGGAAUCA